This 847-nucleotide long non-coding RNA is filed under the name Gallus gallus (chicken). RNAcentral's name for it is "lncRNA (ENSGALG00010020802.1)". Lineage: Eukaryota; Metazoa; Chordata; Aves; Galliformes; Phasianidae. The record is from RNAcentral.
UUUGGGAAGUUUUCUGGUUGCUUCUAGGUCUGUCUCUGUCCCUCUUCUGAGAUGUUCCUGGUUUCUCAGCACCUAUGGAGGAGCUGCUACCUGCAAUAGGUGCAGCUCCAGGAGAGCCAGGGGUGCGGUAGUUAACUGCAGAGCAUCCAACGUGGUUACCUGUAAAUAACUCCUUUGCUGUUCUCGGAGGUCCCGUGUUCUGCUUGGUGUGUGAUGGAGCCCUGCUUGCCUUCCCCUGCGUGGAGCAGUGAGGCGCGUGCAGGGCGGUGUGCCGCAGCCCAUGGAGGGUCUGCUGCGGUUGCUUAUCCUUGUGUGGAUUUUGCUAAAAUGGAAGAAAUGGCUCAAAAACGGGGGGGAUGGGGUGGCUGGCUCCCACAUCUCCUUAGGAAGCUUGGUGGGAACGCAAACCUCAUCGCUGCUCUUCAGCUCUGGGAAGCACUGCCGGCUGUUUUUCCUGCCUCCUGCUUUCUGUUGGCUGUGGGGUGGGAUUACAGCUACUGAUAUGUUGUGGGAAGCACUUUUCUCACGGUAUUCUCAGCCUGGACCGGGAAACAGAGGAAACAUCCCAAGUGAGGUCUUCCUUGGGUAACAUCAGUGUGACUUCGGGACUGGUGAGACCAGGAUAACCACCACCCAACUGUCCGUAAUCCCAAAUGCACAGCACCAGAGCUCUGCAGCUAUUAAGCAGAUGCUUCCUUACAGAGCAGCUCCCUGUGUAGGAUGUCCUAUGGCUCAUGUAAGCAAGGCAGGAGCGAAAAGCAUGUCCUUGAGGAUGCCCCAGUGGGCUUUUCCAUCUCCAUACCUUCUUGCAGUCCCAGUAAAAUACCAGAAUGUGGUGCGUUUGCUC